CGGCGUGCUUAAUACAUGCAAGUUGAGCGGAGCUAAUAGUGAGUUUACUUAUUAUUAGUCGAGCAGCGGACGGGUGAGUAACGCGUGGGCAAUCUGCCCUCUAGUUUGGGAUAACAGUUCGAAAGGACUGCUAACACCGAAUAAUACUUAAAUUUGGGCAUACUAAAUUUAAGGAAAGUUAACGCUAGAGGAUGAGCCCGCGUCCCAUUAGCUAGUUGGUGAGGUAACGGCCCACCAAGGCAACGAUGGGUAGCCGACCUGAGAGGGUGACCGGCCACACUGGGACUGAGACACGGCCCAGACUCCUACGGGAGGCAGCAGUAGGGUAAUUUUCCGCAAUGGACGAAAGUCUGACGGAGCAACGCCGCGUGAGGGAUGAAGGUUUUCGGAUCGUAAACCUCUGUCCUUGGGGAAGAUAAUGACGGUACCCAAGGAGGAAGCCACGGCUAACUACGUGCCAGCCGCCGC
Molecule: ribosomal RNA, 468 nt
Filed under: uncultured bacterium
Lineage: Bacteria
Description: bacterial SSU rRNA
Rfam family: Bacterial small subunit ribosomal RNA
Source: RNAcentral